UGGGGAAUAUUGCGCAAUGGGGGAAACCCUGACGCAGCAACGCCGCGUGAAGGAAGAAGGCCUUCGGGUUGUAAACUUCUUUGAUUGGGGACGAAGGAAGUGACGGUACCCAAAGAACAAGCCACGGCUAACUACGUG
This 138-nucleotide ribosomal RNA is filed under the name uncultured bacterium. RNAcentral's name for it is "partial 16S rRNA". It matches the Rfam family "Bacterial small subunit ribosomal RNA", at positions 355 to 507 of the family's 1533-position model. The record is from RNAcentral.